RNAcentral lists this ribosomal RNA (444 nucleotides) under Pseudohongiella sp. RNAcentral describes it as "partial 23S ribosomal RNA". It matches the Rfam family "Bacterial large subunit ribosomal RNA", at positions 1 to 486 of the family's 2925-position model. The record is from RNAcentral. Lineage: Bacteria; Pseudomonadati; Pseudomonadota; Gammaproteobacteria; Pseudomonadales; Pseudohongiellaceae.
GAUCAAGCGAAUAAGUGCAUGUGGUGGAUGCCUUGGCGAUUACAGGCGAUGAAGGACGUAGCAGUCUGCGAAAAGCCACGGGGAGCUGACAAGCAAGCUUUGAUCCGUGGAUAUCCGAAUGGGGAAACCCACCCGCAAGGGUACUCCCUCCUGAAUACAUAGGGAGGGUAGAGCGAACGCAGCGAACUGAAACAUCUAAGUAGCUGCAGGAAAAGAAAUCAACCGAGAUUCCGUAAGUAGUGGCGAGCGAACACGGAAGAGCCUUGCAACUUUUAGCACACGAAUUAACAGAACGGUCUGGAAAGUCCGGCGAUAGUGGGUGAUAGCCCCGUAUGUAAAAAUUCGAGUGUGGAACUAGGGUUGCGACAAGUAGGGCGGGGCACGAGAAACCUUGUCUGAAUAUGGGGGGACCAUCCUCCAAGGCUAAAUACUCGUAAUCGACCG